RNAcentral lists this ribosomal RNA (419 nucleotides) under uncultured bacterium. Its description in RNAcentral is "bacterial SSU rRNA". It matches the Rfam family "Bacterial small subunit ribosomal RNA", at positions 64 to 478 of the family's 1533-position model. The record is from RNAcentral.
GAGCGGAUGAGAGGAGCUUGCUCCUGGAUUCAGCGGCGGACGGGUGAGUAAUGCCUAGGAAUCUGCCUGGUAGUGGGGGACAACGUUUCGAAAGGGACGCUAAUACCGCAUACGUCCUACGGGAGAAAGCAGGGGACCUUCGGGCCUUGCGCUAUCAGAUGAGCCUAGGUCGGAUUAGCUAGUUGGUGAGGUAAUGGCUCACCAAGGCGACGAUCCGUAACUGGUCUGAGAGGAUGAUCAGUCACACUGGAACUGAGACACGGUCCAGACUCCUACGGGAGGCAGCAGUGGGGAAUAUUGGACAAUGGGCGAAAGCCUGAUCCAGCCAUGCCGCGUGUGUGAAGAAGGUCUUCGGAUUGUAAAGCACUUUAAGUUGGGAGGAAGGGUUGUAGAUUAAUACUCUGCAAUUUUGACGUUAC